This 1231-nucleotide long non-coding RNA is filed under the name Lactuca sativa (garden lettuce). RNAcentral's name for it is "long non-coding RNA (LSAT_LNC005344)". The record is from RNAcentral. Lineage: Eukaryota; Viridiplantae; Streptophyta; Magnoliopsida; Asterales; Asteraceae.
UAUAAGUUCUAAUAUAUUAAUAUGGAAUCAUAUUAUUUAAUUAGUAUUGAUCAAGAAUUAAUUUAGAAUUAAUUAAGUGAUCAAAAGGAACUAAUUAAAUAUGGACUCUUAUAUAUAUGGAAUGGGCCAAGUUCAUUUAGGUUGGGCUAAGCUUUCAUGGAUAGUCCAUGGAGUGUUUAACCCAUGGAUCCUAGGAAAUGAUAGGUCAUGGGUAUUAGGGUUUAACCCUAAUCCUCCAUACUAUAUAAAGAUGUCCUUGGUUGGUGAAAUUGGCACUAGUGUGGAUACACUAAAGAAGGGCUAGCCAAUUUCACUAGAGAGAACCAAGUAAUCAUAUUCUCUAAAGUAUUCCAAGGUGUCUUGGUGAUUUGUGAUUCCACUUGAGGCUUCCANCAUUUUCCAAAGAAAAAACCAAGUAUCCAUAUUCUCUAAAGUAUUCCAAGGUGUCUUGGUAAUUUGUGAUUCCACUUGAGGCUUCCACACUAUUGGAGCUAAGCUCUUAAAGCUUGAAGACAUCAAGCUACAUCAAGAGGUAUGUAUUCUAUCUUGUUACAUUCAUAGUUUUUGUAUGCUAGAUUAGGAUAAUACCUUGGAUGUUCUUAUUUGCAUGUAUAAUAGAGAAAACAUAGAUCCAAGGUAUUUAGGGUUGCAUGUACACUUAGGAAGUGUUAGAAUGCUCAAAACCCAACAGUGGUAUCAGAGCCACGGGUUGUUUUCUGUUAUAUUGAUGCAAAUAUUUUAUUUUCAAAGUUGAAAAAAAAAAGAAAAAAAACAUGAAGUUCGUCAAAUUUUAAGAUAAUUACUUGUUCUUGUGAAAAACUAAUUAUUUGUAAAAUUUGAAUAAUUUGCUUUAUGAGUUGAAUUAGGUCAAAUUUAAUAAAAGAUAAAAUAAUAUGAUUAUUUUAUUAGUUUUAAAAGUUUGAUCUAAAGAGUUUUAUUUUUUGAAACCUCCAUAAGUUAUGGAUAUGAAAAGGUUUUAAAAAAAAAAUUGAUUCAAAGUUUUUUUGGAGUUACAAAAUUUGGUGUUAAUGUUUUAAAGGAUUCCAUAACUUAAGAAUAAGUUAUGGAUCACCAAAAGUUUUUUGUGUUACCUUGUUUUAUGAGUGAAUUUAGAUUAAUGAAUAAAAUUAUGUGAUAGUUGGUUUUAAUCCAAAUUAAUCUAAGAAUUGAUUCUAAAAUGUGUUUUUGUAACUUGUCCUCAAGUUAUAUGAAAAGUCACAUUUAAGAAUCA